This 495-nucleotide ribosomal RNA is filed under the name uncultured bacterium. Its description in RNAcentral is "partial 16S ribosomal RNA". It matches the Rfam family "Bacterial small subunit ribosomal RNA", at positions 28 to 507 of the family's 1533-position model. The record is from RNAcentral.
GACGAACGCUGGCGGCGUGCCUAAUACAUGCAAGUAGAACGCUGAAGGAGGAGCUUGCUCUUCUGGAUGAGUUGCGAACGGGUGAGUAACGCGUAGGUAACCUGCCUGGUAGUGGGGGAUAACUAUUGGAAACGAUAGCUAAUACCGCAUAAUAACAGUUGUUGCAUGACAACUGUUUGAAAGGUGCAAUUGCAUCACUACCAGAUGGACCUGCGUUGUAUUAGCUAGUUGGUGGGGUAACGGCUCACCAAGGCGACGAUACAUAGCCGACCUGAGAGGGUGAUCGGCCACACUGGGACUGAGACACGGCCCAGACUCCUACGGGAGGCAGCAGUAGGGAAUCUUCGGCAAUGGACGAAAGUCUGACCGAGCAACGCCGCGUGAGUGAAGAAGGUUGUCGGAUCGUAAAGCUCUGUUGUAAGAGAAGAACGAGUGUGAGAGUGGAAAGUUCACACUGUGACGGUAUCUUACCAGAAAGGGACGGCUAACUACGUG